GUUGUUGUGGAGAAAUCAAUUGUGUGGAACGGGUUGUUGUGGGGUUGAGACCUUAUCAGCUCUCCUUACUCUUUACCUUUUUCACGCAAUGCACUUUCUCUUUAACAAGUCAACAUCAAUUUCUUUUGUUGUAAAAGGGCCGGCGGAAGGUGGCUUUCUUUUCGGAGAAAGUGUUUAUAGCCGUUGGUCUCUACAAUCGGAGAGAUUGAGGUCUGCAGCGUAGAUCCUUCGGGGUUAGAUACGUUGGUGCUAAGUUAUAAUCCUAUAUAGACAACUUGUUGACUAUAUUCGAUCAUGUAGCUUACUCGCUAGCGCUAUUUUACCUAC
This 327-nucleotide ribosomal RNA is filed under the name uncultured Neocallimastigales. RNAcentral's name for it is "partial large subunit ribosomal RNA". Lineage: Eukaryota; Fungi; Neocallimastigomycota; Neocallimastigomycetes; Neocallimastigales. The record is from RNAcentral.